GGAUACAGGACAGUGAAUCAUACUCAACAUUUGGAGAGCUGCCGAGGGACACUCAUGCUCAACCCUAAAUUCCCAGGACAUGAUUAAAGCAUAUUCCUGAGUCACCGUUUAGCAGUCCACCAUCAGUUAACUAGGCCAGACAAGUGACAAUUUGAUAAAAUAUCACAGGGGAACACAGGAAAUGGCCUAAACAAUCUCUCCAUAUCAGUCAGAGAGCUUCACUUAGAAGUUUCCCUAAUUAAAAGAAACUGUACAAAAAGGACUUCCAUUGUUUGUUGAGGCAAUUCUUUUUACAUUAUACAAAAACUCCACCAAAUUUACAUCAGUCGCUAACUACCACCACAGCAAGCUGCAACUAUUUGAAGGAUCCUUGGAAGAGUACUUGAAGUGACAUCAGUAAAAUAUUUGUUAAACCACAUUUAUAUCACUUUAGGCUCUCUUUCUCUCCAACUUUCAUAGUAAUUUCACAUAAAAGAAGGGCAUCUCUCACUUAUCUCACCAACAACUGGUUGCUUGAUGUCACAAACACAAUGCAC
This 536-nucleotide unclassified non-coding RNA is filed under the name Hevea brasiliensis (rubber tree). The record is from RNAcentral. Lineage: Eukaryota; Viridiplantae; Streptophyta; Magnoliopsida; Malpighiales; Euphorbiaceae.